AUGCGGAGGGUGCAAGCGUUAUCCGGAAUCAUUGGGUUUAAAGGGUCCGCAGGCGGAUUAAUAAGUCAGUGGUGAAAUCCUCUCGCUCAACGAGAGAACUGCCAUUGAAACUGUUAGUCUUGAAUUCGGUCGAAGUAGGCGGAAUGUGUCAUGUAGCGGUGAAAUGCAUAGAUAUGACACAGAACACCGAUAGCGAAGGCAGCUUACUAGACCUGGAUUGACGCUCAUGGACGAAAGCGUGCGGAGCGAACAGGAUUAGAAACCCCAGUAGUCC
RNAcentral lists this ribosomal RNA (274 nucleotides) under uncultured bacterium. RNAcentral's name for it is "partial 16S ribosomal RNA". It matches the Rfam family "Bacterial small subunit ribosomal RNA", at positions 523 to 796 of the family's 1533-position model. The record is from RNAcentral.